AUGAACUGCUUGGAAUUGUUGAUUGGAUUGGAGCUAUUGCGUGGACAAAUACAUUCUUGUUGGAGGGAGAUGACUCAGCUGAAAAUACCAUGGACACCUCCUCUUAAUGCAUGUGCUGUUACAUUACUUGCGCAUGCUAGAGAGAGUUUUUCAUGCAAGUGCAAGAUCAAAGGAAGUCAUACUAUCGUGGGGUUAUGGAAGCAUGAGUACUGGCAGCCUACUAUGAAGACUAGUGACUGGUAUACAAAGAGUUGCACAUAUUCAUGGGUAUCACUGAACUCCAAGUUAAUUAAUCUGAAUGAAGUGAUUCCAGUUGACAUGUUGCAGCUACCAACUUCAGAUGAGGAGUUUGUAAUAUGGCCCAGACCUAUUGGAUGGUUUGCAACAAGUGAUCAGUUUGUCGAUCUCGGGUUGGGCUAUUCUUCUUAUCAUCUAGUCAGGGUAAUAACUACGGUUGUUUCAUUGAAGAAAUCCUGGUUGCGGGAAAUUAUUGAGGAGCUUUCCGAACUAGGACCUCAAGGACAAACAUUGCAAAGGCAGGAUAACAAGCUUUGGGAAUCACUAUUGCUUAAUGAUCAUGAUACACUAUGCUCCUUGCAACUAAUAUGGAAUCCUGGAGGCAUCAAAGGCAUCGGCUUGGGGACAAGCCAAAACUAAAGGAAGGGAG
This 667-nucleotide long non-coding RNA is filed under the name Oryza sativa Indica Group (long-grained rice). Its description in RNAcentral is "lncRNA OsMH63_01G029770". The record is from RNAcentral. Lineage: Eukaryota; Viridiplantae; Streptophyta; Magnoliopsida; Poales; Poaceae.